This is a long non-coding RNA of Eptesicus fuscus (big brown bat), 418 nucleotides long. RefSeq lists it as uncharacterized. The record is from RefSeq and is a predicted model, not a curated record. The transcript has 2 exons. Lineage: Eukaryota; Metazoa; Chordata; Mammalia; Chiroptera; Vespertilionidae.
AGCAUCCUGGGUACUCCAGCCAGAGCCCUCCUUUGAAGCCCAGAAGCAAGCUGCUGGCAGGAGCCCGGGGCAGCUCCGGGAUCCAAGGUUCCUGGCGAACAUGGCUCCCCUGAAUCCCAGGGCUCCUGCUGCAGCUGAGAUGCUGCUCAGAAGCAAGCCCCGAAGAAACUCAGAACAAAAUCCAGACGGACAGAAGCAGAGUCAUAUGGCCUCUCAAAGCCAAUGGCUUGCCAGGAAAGAGUCUUAAAACUGCCAGAACCUUGGCAAAGGGCCUUGAGUUCUGCCGGCGGGAACCUGAUCGUUGAAAGGCAGAAUUGAAAUGAGAAGAAAAGAAAUGCAAUUGUCCUAUGAAGAAUGGCACCUGUUGAGAAACAAAAUGGAAAAGUAUAUACAGAAGAAUAAAUAUAGUGGGACCUUG